RNAcentral lists this ribosomal RNA (433 nucleotides) under uncultured Arenimonas sp. RNAcentral's name for it is "bacterial SSU rRNA". It matches the Rfam family "Bacterial small subunit ribosomal RNA", at positions 355 to 774 of the family's 1533-position model. Lineage: Bacteria; Pseudomonadati; Pseudomonadota; Gammaproteobacteria; Lysobacterales; Lysobacteraceae. The record is from RNAcentral.
UGGGGAAUAUUGGACAAUGGGCGCAAGCCUGAUCCAGCCAUGCCGCGUGUGUGAAGAAGGCCUUCGGGUUGUAAAGCACUUUUGUCCGGAAAGAAAAGCAUUCGGUUAAUACCCGGGUGUCCUGACGGUACCGGAAGAAUAAGCACCGGCUAACUUCGUGCCAGCAGCCGCGGUAAUACGAAGGGUGCAAGCGUUACUCGGAAUUACUGGGCGUAAAGCGUGCGUAGGUGGUGAGUUAAGUCUGUCGAUGCAAAGGCCCCGGGCUCAACCUGGGGAAUGGCGAUGGAUACUGGCUCGCUAGAGUGCGGUAGAGGAGAGUGGAAUUCCCCGGUGUAGCAGUGAAAUGCGUAGAGAUCGGGAGGAACAUCAGUUGCGAAGGCGGCUCUCUGGACCAGCACUGACACUGAGGCACGAAAAGCGUGGGGAGCAAACA